This 557-nucleotide ribosomal RNA is filed under the name uncultured bacterium. RNAcentral describes it as "partial 16S ribosomal RNA". It matches the Rfam family "Bacterial small subunit ribosomal RNA", at positions 355 to 902 of the family's 1533-position model. The record is from RNAcentral.
UGGGGAAUUUUGGACAAUGGGCGAAAGCCUGAUCCAGCAAUGCUGCGUGUGUGAAGAAGGCCUUCGGGUUGUAAAGCACUUUUGUCCGGAAAGAAAUCCUUGGCUCUAAUACAGUCGGGGGAUGACGGUACCGGGAAGAAUAAGCACCGGCUAACUACGUGCCAGCAGCCGCGGUAAUACGUAGGGUGCAAGCGUUAAUCGGAAUUACUGGGCGUAAAGCGUGCGCAGGCGGUUUGCUAAGACCGAUGUGAAAUCCCCGGGCUCAACCUGGGAACUGCAUUGGUGACUGGCAGGCUAGAGUAUGGCAGAGGGGGGUAGAAUUCCACGUGUAGCAGGUGAAAUGCGUAGAGAUGUGGAGGAAUACCGAUGGCGAAGGCAGCCCCCUGGGCCAAUACUGACGCUCAUGCACGAAAGCGUGGGGAGCAAACAGGAUUAGAUACCCUGGUAGUCCACGCCCUAAACGAUGUCAACUAGUUGUUGGGGAUUCAUUUCCUUAGUAACGUAGCUAACGCGUGAAGUUGACCGCCUGGGGAGUACGGUCGCAAGAUUAAAAGCUC